This is a long non-coding RNA of Manis pentadactyla (Chinese pangolin), 5263 nucleotides long. RefSeq lists it as uncharacterized. The record is from RefSeq and is a predicted model, not a curated record. The transcript is spliced from 5 exons. NCBI's taxonomy places the organism in Eukaryota, Metazoa, Chordata, Mammalia, Pholidota, Manidae.
GAGGCGCCCCCGACGUGACUGAUUUAACCAGCAGGGGCCGGGCUAAGGCAGCCGUGGCUGCAGGUUAAGCACAGCCACGGCGCGCGUGCCCGGUGCUGUCACCCGCUGUACUUCCCGUUCGCGCAGCCAGAGCAGCGGCCUGGGCGCGCGGAGGCGCGGCCGGCGGAGGCGGUGUCCGCGCCAGAUGACGCCGGCAGGGUUUCUCUUCACGCAGGGACACGUCCCUUGGUGUCCCCUUGGUGCUGAGAAAGCCAAAAUGUGUACGCCAGAGGCUGUGAAGUGGAAAGGGCACCGCGCAGGCGUGAAGACUGAACCAGCUCUGUGGCCUUGGGUGAUCAUAACUUCAUAAAUGUUUGAUCUUUUCAACUCCAGUGAUCACCUGGGACUCUCCUUUGCUCACCCACCCCAGAUCUUGAAACCUCAAAAUUCAUUCCUUGACCACAGUGCCCAUACCCACCCUUAUCUGAACCCUUUCUUCAAUAAAAUGGGUUUUUACCAUGCCUGAGUAGUGGGCUUUCUUUAGUGGUGUGUAUUUUACUUAGUGUCUAGGACAUCCCUUGAGUCAGUGUAGCACAGGGGCCAAGAUCAUGGCCUGUGUUUGAACCCUAAAACCUCCACUUGUUAGCAUGUGACUUGUGUCAAUUAUUUAAUCUCUUUUCCGUCUCUUCCCUAGAUAAUUAUAGUACAUACCUUGUAGUUUUAGGGAUCAAAUGAGUUACGUCAGAUGUUCUGCCUUUGACUCAAUGGCCUUCUGACAUCCUGAGAGGCUUCUUUAGCUCAGAGUUGAUCUCUUCCAGAAAGCUCUCCCUAAUCCCACCCUCCAGGACAAAACUCCCUCCUCUGCAGUGCUCAUUGCCUUGUGCAUACUGCUAUUGUCCUUAUCACAGAGAUUUCUUAAAUGCUCCCUUUUUAAGCUGUGAGAUGCUUGAAAAUAAAGACCUUCAUUUAAGGUGUCCAGAACAUACAAGGUAUUCAUUAGGUUUCCAUUCAUUUCUUUGUAUUCAUUAACAAUGUUUCAUUUUUGCAUUUAAGUUUAUUUUCUGAAUUAAAAAAGAAAACGGCCCCAAAAUCUUAGAAAGAUGCCAUAUUUCUUUCUGCACAGUAUUAAAGUAUUGAAUUUUUUUUAAACCCAGUACUUUGUGUUUUUUUAAACUUUUUUUUUUAGAAUAAAAAAAUUUUUCUGUUACGAAGGUUGCCAGAAUAAUACAUGGUUUGGAGAAAAAGUAUACAGAAUCAGGGAAAUACAUAAGGGCUGACAACGUUAAAUGUAGGAUAGGAUUCUAAGAUUAUUUUUUUGCCUGUUAACUAGUUGCAGAAUGCAUCACAGUAUAUCUACAUUUCCGAGAGAAGUACAGGUUUUGAUGUUUAGAAAUGAGUGCAUAUGCCAGCCAUCCAAGGUUAAAAAAGAAAAUCUGUAACAAAAUUAGAAGACUACAGAAAGCAGGAAAGAAAUACAUGUAUGGCAAAUGAAGGAUUUUUAAAUGGCUUUUACAAAUCAGUAGGGAAUAGACCACCACCACAUCAAAAGGAGCAAAGAGCAUACACAGAUUAACAUAAAGCAUUCCAUUUUACUAAGGAUUAAAAUAAAAUGAAAAUCACUCGAAUACUUUUUUCUUAUCUAUCAAACUGACAAAAGUUUAUUCUGAAACAAUUUCAAGCUUACAAAAAAGUGGAAAGAAUAGUAGAAAGAAUCCCUAUAUAAUCUUGGCUUAGAUUCCCUAAUUGUUGGCAUUUUACCUCAUUUGCUUUCACUCUGUCUGUCUUUGUCUCUGUCCCUCUCUUUAACUAUAUAGAUAGAUAGAUAUAGAUUAGUUACCACAGGUACUAUGACCAUUCUUGCAGAACUCUGUUUUUGCCUGGAGUUAAUCAUUGAUUCAUCUCUGUUAUUUGAUUUAUUUUCUUUUUUAAAUUAUAAAAGAUUCAUUUGCCUAGUUUCUCAUGACCACUUUUUUUUUUUAACAAAUGCCUCACGUCUCUGUUAACACACUUGUUGUAUACAAUAAUAUGUUCUACAUAGUCCAGGCACAUCAAUUGCAGUUCUUUUUUUCCCUAAGAACCUUCAUUCUGGAACUCUCUAAUCCCCUGUUCUGAUCUGAACUAGUCCUUGCUAGGCCCGCUGCACAGCUACCAGCCUGGGAUGUAACUGUACUCUGCUCUGUUAGAUCCCUGUUUCUUAAACUCUUACGUUCUGUGCCUUCCUCUUUCUUGAUUUUGGUUUAGUCCUUUGAUUGUGGUAGCACCUCCCCCAGAACCUUUUGGAGUAAAGGUACAGAGAGAUAAAUAUUUUGAAAUCAUGUGUAUCUGAAAUUGUUUUUAUUCUACCCUCAUACUUGAUUGAGAGUUUCCCUGGAUUGGUGUGGAAUUUUAGGUUGAAAAUAAUUUUCCUUUGGUGGGUGAGGGAUGGGUGAAAUAGGUGAAGGGGGAAAAAUCAGUGAGAAUGUUUGAUAUCUUAACCUGGCCCAUGGUUACAUAAGUAAAUUCACAUGUCACAAUUCAUCAAGCUGUGCACUACAAUUUGUGCAUUUUAUUAUAGGUACCUCAAUAUACAAAAUUUUAAAAUAAAAUUGAAAAAAUGAGAGAAAAAGAAAAUCAUUUUCCCUCAGAAUUCCAAAAGAGUUUGUUCCAUUUUCUUACUGACUUCUAGUAAUGCCAUUUUCAUUUCUAAUUUUUUGUAUGUCCCCUGCUUUUUUAGGACCAUCUUAGGAUCUUCCCUUUAUCCUUAGAGUUCUAAGUUGUUAAAGCAUGUAAGUUUAUAAGAUUUUUAAAAAUAUUCCCUUGUCUGAGCCUUUUUCCCCAUUCACUUUGUUGCUCACUCCAUGGGCCCUUUGAUCUUGAGACUCUUAUCCUUCCAGUGUGAGUUUUCUUGUAUUAUUUCUUUAUAAUUUCCUUCCCUCCAUAUUUGCUGGAUGUGUGGAUGUGGGAUUUUGGGGGUGGAUCCUCUAAGUUUCUUGUGCUUUCUUUCAUAUUUUUCCAUCUAUCUUUUUGUAUUCUGAGUUUUCAUCAACUACUUUCUAUCUUUUCUUCUGAAUAUUUAUUUUCAAACCUUCUAUUCUUUAAUAGCCAAGAGCUCUUUUCUCAUUUUGUUUAUUUUGCACCUUUCUAUUUAUUUUACACCUUUUCUUAUUUCAUGGGUAAAAUAUCUCUUCUUAUCUCUUUAGGGAUAUUAACUAUCCUACUUUUGAAGUUUUGUUUUGCUGUUUUCUCUAUUUUGCUUUCUCUUUCAUGUUAGAACUUUCCACUAACAUCUGGUAAUCCAUGAUUAUAUUUUAAGAUUUCAUCAUGAGGCACAAACAGGUGGUUAAUGGUUUCAUGUGCAUGAAAGGAGCUUAUCUGCUGGAGGUUCUUAGAGAUGAUCUGGCAGAGAACCAGCUGAUUCACUGAGGGGAGACUUCCUAGUGUCUGAAUCUGUGACCAUCCCAUUUUUUCCAAGGAAGGAUCAUUUCCUGACAACCAGCUGUCUGGAAGCAGGCUACUGAAGAAAAAAGGAGUAUUUGGGGCUGAGUCUUGGAGGAGUGAGGACUGGCCAGUGCAGGAAAGUCCGGGCUGAGAGAACAGCGCAUACCAAAGUCACAACAGGGUGAAACCACCCUCAUGACAAGUACUUCUGAUAUAUCCUCGUGGUUAGAAGUGUGGGUCACAAGUUAUUAUGGAAAUGCUCUCUGACAAAACAGCCCUUGGUGUGAGUCACUGGGGUGGUUUAAGACCAGGAAUGCUCCUGGGAAUGGUUUGGAGGAUAAAGUUUCAGUGAACUCAUUCUGGAGUUAAAAGACACCAGCUAGUUCAAUCCUACAAAGUUUACAAGAACUGGGAUUUUCCAAAUAGAACAAUACAACGACACCACUUCUCUCCCAAGGUCAGCAGGGUUUGGCCUCAUUUCAUCUUAAGAGCUUGUUCGCUCUGUUCUCCAACGUUUGACAGAGGCAGAAAAUCAAGCUAAGUCUAAAGCCGCAAUGCAGUUAAAAAAGAAUGAUCAACUUCCUAAAAGACUUUGUUGAUUAUGUUUUCCUAUCAUGUACCUUCACGGGGAAAAGAAAAAUCAACACAGUAUAAAUGUUAAUUCUGGACACACAGUAUUCUUGUGGCCAACCGAGCAGCUUAAUUAAACCACUGCCUUGAAUAGUUUGUGCUGAAUACUUGCCUGAGCCUUUUGUUGUCUUGGUGUAUUUGAAAAAGGGAUGCUUUUAAAUGGAGAUGCAGUGUUUUCAGAUACUCCUACUCUGACCACAAUACUGUAUUUCAGGUCCCCCAUUAAUUUGAGGAAAAAUUGCAGUAUGUAUUUUAAAACACUUCCUCUCCGUCAUUAGUUUUUUAAGGAUCUGCCAAAUUUCCUAUCACCAAAACAAACCUCUGGUUUAACCUAUCAACUCUUGAGUUUCUGCACUCUCAAGAGACCAAAGUCUCUCUUUUCUCUUUCAAUGACCCACAUUGCGGACCAUGGAACAGGUCAUUUUGAGAGAGCGUCCUGUGCCAGUUAACCAUGAUGAUGCCAGGACACUCUACCGGACAAUGAUGAGGUUAGCUACUACCUUUAACAAAUGAAUAUUCCUUUGUUCCAACAAUAGCAUAAUCAAAGUUUUUAAAAUAAGAUUUCUUGAUUUGUUUUGGGGAUUCAAAUGCUCAUUAGUUUCAGUAUUAGAUCUUAAAUCUCUAAAAAAAAAAAAGACCUGUUGAAGCUUUAGACCUUUAAGGACCUGUUUCCAAUGUACGGAUUUGUAGGUAUUUGUAGAUUUGUAGGUAUUUCUAAGCUCAAAAUUUUCAUUUCUCUUGGGACCAACAGUAACAUUUAGUGUUAAAGGUAAGGCCUUGGAACAGAAUUUUUAUUUGCCAGAAAGACCUGGAGCCAACCAGUCUCAGUACAGCCAUUGCUACUCCACAUUUAUUCACAACUGCUUUACAAUUCCAGUUGUGGGGAAAGGCCCUUCAUUCUUCGCUGGAGUAGAAAAUGGGACACUUUUCAAUAAAUGCCAGUCAAGAAAAGGUAUAAACAUGUCAAGUUAUUUUUAAAAACUUCUAAUUUAGCCAAAGUUGUAAAGGGAUAUAAGACGAAUGGCAUGCCUGAUUUGGAAAGAAUGGUACUUUACCUCUGUGGUCCCCAAAACACUUAACCCAGUUUCAUCAUGAGAAAACCUCAGACAGAUCCCAAGAGAGGGGCAAUCUACAAAAUACCUUACCAGUACCCUCCUCCUCAAAACUGCCGGGCAGGUCAUCAAAAAGGAGGGAAGUCUGAGAAUCUGUUAAUAGCCAAGAGGAGUUGGAGACGUGA